Non-coding RNA from Coturnix japonica (Japanese quail), 5455 nucleotides. NCBI's taxonomy places the organism in Eukaryota, Metazoa, Chordata, Aves, Galliformes, Phasianidae. The record is from RefSeq and is a predicted model, not a curated record.
CGGCGCCAUGUCAGAGCUCGCGCACUCAGCCCCGCCGCUCUCGCGCUGUUCAACUGAGGUAGCGCGGAGUCUUUUAGCCCCACCGCAAUCUCCUCUCAGCCAGCAGUAACUCUGAAACAGCGAUGUUCAUCGGGUGCCAACGCGAUACCGAUGAGUAGCACCGCCUGGAAGUGACGCAGCGGAUUUGCCUUCAAACCGGCGGCGGCGGCAGGAGGCGGGCGGAGCUGGGCGGGGUUACCGAGCCGGAGGAGAGAAGGAAGGCGAAGGGACGAGGGAGCUGCUGCCGGGCUGUGGGCCGUGCGGGUGAGACCCGCGGCGUUCACUCCAACGUGGAGCGUCCCCGUCCUCGUCCUCCGCUGGCGGCCGUCGCGCGGGGCCGCCUUCCCGAGCUUCAUGUUGAACAUGAGCCUUGUUAUGAUCAGUGAGAAUGUAAAGCUGGCCCGUGAAUAUGCCUUACUGGGAAACUAUGACUCUGCAAUGGUCUACUAUCAGGGAGUUCUUGACCAGAUGAAUAAAUACCUCUACUCUGUCAGAGAUACGUACCUGCAGCAGAAGUGGCAACAGGUUUGGCAGGAGAUAAGCGUGGAAGCUAAGCACGUGAAAGAUAUCAUGAAAACACUAGAGAGUUUUAAACUAGACAGUACUCCACUGAAAGCUUCACAACAAGAACUACCAGCUAAUGAUGCAGAAGUCUGGUCUUUGCCAGUACCUGCUGAGCGGAGAUCUUCACCAGGACCCAGAAAACGUCAGUCUGCUCAAUACAGCGAUUGCAGAGGUCACAAUAAUCGCAUAAGUGCAGCUGUUAGAGGCCCUCACCGUCCAUCUUCUCGAAAUCCCAAUGAGAAAGGAAAGGCAGUCCGUGGCCGGGAGAAAAAGGAUCAGCAGAAUAAAGGAAAAGAGGAGAAGAACAAACCCACAUCUGAAAUUUCAGAGUCUGAACCAAAGAAAUUUGAUAGUACUGGAUACGAUAAAGAUUUAGUAGAAGCUUUGGAAAGAGAUAUAAUUUCUCAAAAUCCCAACAUUCGAUGGGAUGACAUUGCUGAUUUAGUAGAAGCUAAAAAACUGCUCAAGGAAGCUGUUGUUCUUCCAAUGUGGAUGCCUGAUUUUUUUAAGGGAAUUAGAAGACCAUGGAAGGGUGUGCUGAUGGUUGGUCCUCCUGGUACUGGAAAGACCCUUCUGGCAAAAGCUGUAGCAACUGAAUGCAAGACUACUUUUUUCAAUGUUUCUUCUUCCACACUUACCUCAAAAUACAGGGGAGAAUCUGAGAAACUUGUUCGUUUGCUCUUUGAAAUGGCUCGAUUUUAUGCCCCAACAACCAUAUUUAUUGAUGAAAUAGACUCUAUCUGUAGUCGACGGGGAACUUCAGAAGAGCAUGAGGCCAGCCGACGUGUGAAAGCAGAACUGCUAGUUCAGAUGGAUGGUGUUGGAGGAGCCACAGAAAAUGAUGACCCUUCUAAAAUGGUCAUGGUACUUGCAGCUACUAAUUUUCCUUGGGAUAUUGAUGAAGCCCUGAGAAGAAGACUAGAAAAGAGAAUUUACAUUCCGUUACCAUCAGCAAAAGGUAGAGAGGAACUCCUAAGAAUAAAUCUGCGGGAGCUGGAACUGGCUGAUGAUGUUGACCUUGCAAAUAUAGCUGAGAAAAUGGAGGGUUAUUCAGGUGCAGACAUUACCAACGUGUGCAGAGAUGCAUCGUUGAUGGCUAUGAGAAGGCGUAUCGAAGGCUUGACACCAGAAGAGAUAAGAAAUCUUUCUCGAGAUGAAAUGCACAUGCCAACAACGAUGGAAGACUUUGAAAUAGCUUUAAAGAAGGUUUCUAAGUCUGUAUCUGCUGCGGACAUUGAGAAAUAUGAGAAAUGGAUAGUUGAAUUUGGAUCCUGCUGAGUUGUCUUAUCUUGAAGCCGUCUAACAUCUUAAAACACCUUCAGAAGUGAUCAGUGUUACUGUGAGCUUAAGAACUGGUGCAUUCACUACACGUUUGUUCUGCUAGCGCUGUUCUGAUAAGCCAGGAUAGUUGUGAUAUCUUGGUAAGUUCAGAAUGUGAUGCCUGCCCCUAUCCAGUGGAGUUCUACGUGUUCAAAGGAACAGAUGCUUCGGAGGCUGAGACAACAGGGCAGCUAUGAUUGCACCUGUAUCCUUCUCAACUCAUGUAUGGAAAACGAGACCUGAAGCAACUGGCAUGCAGGACAGUUUCCCUUGUUAUCUGUGGCAAGGAGUCUUCAUAACUAUUUUGCAAAAUGGUUCAGAUUUGUUCCAGCUCAACUUGGCCCUCCUCUGAAAGGAAUGUCACCAAGUCAUCUUCCCAUUUCUCUGGAGACAGAGGAGAAAAAAAGAGGAGGGGAAAAAAACCAACAAAGGAAAAACAACAAUGGGACCGUACCUUGUAGGAGGACUGAGGUUCUAUCCUAAGAGGUGUUUCUGGUAACUUGCCAGGUAAUGUCUCUUCAUCCACUGUGGUUUCUACCUGCCAGAUCAGAUACUGACUGGUAGUUUGCAGUGGAUCUUGAAUAUCUAAAGAAGAAAAAGUGGAUGUAGUGGGAGGGUUGUUGCGGAGGGGUGGGUAUUAUUAUUAUUAUUAUUAUUAUACUCUAAGCUAGGAAGCAAAAUCAUGUUGCAUUUCAUUAAGGUCAAAGAAAGCCAACAAUUUUUUUCCACUUGAUAAGAAGCAGCAGUAUUCUUAGUAUUCUUAUUACCAUGCAGCCCUUAGCUAUGAAUUUCAGCUGUCAGCAGGUUUUAAAAGUGAUAAACUAGAUAAAAAUAUUUAUCUCCUAAGAAAUCUGCGAAUUUUUGAUUGAACUAAAUUGAAAUAAGAUUAAAGUAUCCAAUAACUUCUCUGUCUUUAAAGAUAUUCAAGUUUAAUAACUGUCUCUGAUUUGGAAGUGACCCAGACAGGUAUUUCCUCCACAGUUUUCCCUUUUGAUCUCAGGAAAAAGGGGGAGCUUUAGGGAAAUCUCUGUGACAGCACGAGAGAAAUUCAUGUAAAUGUCUGGGCUAUGAUUUUACAAGCACCAAAUAAUUCAAAGGAGAACAGAUUUGGAAACAAAACAAAAGAAAUAACUAGAAUAUAGAAAAGUGGAAUUCAGGUGUAAAUAUAUUAAAAGAAAACACAAAAAACUUAAUGGUUAAUCUGACAACUGUUUAGCUGUGUACAAUGACACUGGAAUAGCAAUAACAGUUAUUUUGUCCUUGUAAAUCAGCAUGUAAAUUUAUGCUCAAAAAUAUUAUGCAACAGCUAAGAUACCUUUUCCUGAGAGGUUGGGAAGUGUAAAUAGCACGUCGUUGUCCCUCGGGAUGGAAUACAGCAUGCUCUCUUUCAAAGGGACAGUGUAGUUUGAAUGUCUCAGUACCCUCAGGUCCUUCACUAAGAUAUCUAUUUCUGUUACUUCUUCCUGCUGAACCUGCAAGAGAUGCAAACAGAUUGAUAAUGUUGAGUUUAAAGUGAAGACAAAGUAGGCUGGCAAAGAGAACCAGUAUGUGCUUGUAAACUCCAAGCCAGUAAGAUUUAGAUGGAUGUUGUAACGUGAAUCAUUACUCUUAGCUUUACUUAACACACUUCCACAGCUGGAUUAUAAUAAUAAUAUAAUAAUAAUGCUGUAUUUGUAUGUGUGCUGAAUAGACCACAUCUUCCUCUCCCUGCAAUAACACAUCACAGUCAAUCUGCGGGCUUUCAUCAAGGUCUUACAGAGCUCCUCUUGUCAGGAAAGCACUUUAAAGCAUGAAAAACUCAAAUAUAUAUUAAAGGGCACGUGGAAACAUUUAGUGUGUUGCUCAGAUGAGACUGACACUGAUGCUUUUGUAGUCAUUGCUUUUAUUUUUUUGUUUCCCUAACAAGUGGAAAAAAUCCUGCUGAGAUACUCAUUGCUGCUUUUGUUUAGCUUUAAAAGAAAUAUAAGGUAAAAUGAUUUCAUUCAGAGCAGACAAAAAUGAAGUAUGGAUUAACUAUGUGCUCACGUAUUCAACUCUCCUACUACAGGUUGAUGUAAAGCAGUUUGUCAGCAGAUACAUGUCUUCAAAAAGGAAUGCAGGAGAUGAUGUGGUUUCACUCAUGCUUUCAGAGCCAUUAUCCUUUUGCUUUUAACAUGUGCAGAACAAUACAACUAAAAAGAUGACUUACUGUCAGCUGAUAUCAAAUUAGAAAGAUUGAAAGCUUCUGACUUACAAGAACAAUUUGGGAAACAGAAUGAGGUUUCUGUGUGUUCUUACCAGAUGUCUGUGCUAACCCAAUAUGCAUUUUGAUGUCUAGUUUAAGAUCUGAACUACUACAACGCUAUUGGCUAACAACUGUACCAAACCAAAGUAUAUUAGCCAACAGUGGGGUAAGGACUUCAUUAAAAAAGCUUCAGAUCUGAGUGAGAUCAUUGCUUUUAUUAAGAGAAAAAGAAAAAAAUCACAGAGAAACACAUCAUGCCAGAAGUUCUUCAUGUUGAGCAUACAUUUAAUUAGUGAUCAAUGGUAUUAUCAUCAUCUUCCUAUUAAAAAAGUGAAGCAGAAUAUAGGACAGCAGCUCUGUCUUCUAACUAAAACCUGUCAGGUUGGAGAAGUAUGACCUAUAGGUGACUGUGACAACUCAUUUCUGCACAUUUUGAUCAGCUCAGUUGUAGCCCCUCACACUCACUGCUGUGUGUGCAAAUACAGUUAGAAGUUUUCUAGUUUUUAUUUUGCUGUUCAUCUCAAAAUAAAUAAAUAUUAUUAUUCAGAUAAUUAGCUUGAAUACAAAACACCCUAAGGCUAAGCCCUCAGAUGAUCUUCCCUUAGUGAGCCCUCUUAAGAGAAUGCUGCUGCAAACUGUGUGGUUGAAAUGUUUUAUUAGCUUGGAAUAAAUAAUGGGCAAAAUCUCGAGCCUCAGAAUGAGCACGUGUACAAAAUUAUUAAAAGGGCACUACUUUGAGAAUGAAAUAUUGCUGGUGAGUUUGACUUUCCUUGCGUUUUGGAAAAGUUCAUGAUAUUCUAACAAGCUUAAUGGAAAGUCAUCCAACUGCUAACUACUGAGAUAAGAAUGUAAACGUUAAAGCUUAAAUUCUCCUCGUGAAACACCUCUGCUGACCCAGGUUGGUUUUAUCUCCCUCAGCACCGUGCUAGCCAGCAUUAGAUUAUAUACUUUGGACCUUGACCACCAUCCACACACGUGUAAACCUUUUAGCUUGUAGUUCCUAUUUGCCUCUCCUGAACUCAGAACAAGCAGAGUGUUAUUUUUUUCUUACCUGUCUUCCAUCAAUUUCCGUCACUUCUUCCUGAAUGACGAUCAGCUGCAAAUCAGAACUGGAUGCCAAAGGCCACUCGUGAACCAUGAUGCGAACGCUGACAGUUCCCAGGCGCUGCUGCUCUACUGUGUCAUCCACACUUCCAUUCUCCACUGUUAAAACAUAAUGGCAUAGUUUUCAAAGAGAAACCAUCCCAAAUGGUAUGAUGGAAUUCUCCAUGGAGCACACAGAUGUGAACAGUGUGGUAUCCCUGCAGG